AGUUCCUCUUGAUGUUUUGCGAACAGAGGUAGCUCAGGUGAUCAAACAAAAGUACCCAGAUGUUUUGGAAGUUCAUAUUGCCAAAUGUGUCUCUAGCAAGGGUUUGAAAUUCCGAAAUGGUAUGAUCCUGGCACAUGAAAUGACAAGUGGCCUCCCUGAAUUUGGAGAAAUUGUCCAGAUUUGUAUUGUUAAAAAGAAUUUGUGCUUCAUCAUGAGACGACUGUGUGGCUGCUACAGGGAGCACUUUAGGGCAUUUGAGCUAAGUGUCUCACCAACAAGAGAAGUGUUCUUUGUAGAACAUGUUGCUUUAGCUGACGAUUAUCCAUUGGUUGAUUAUAUGGUUGGUCCUUUGCGUUUAGUGACUUUGAAAAGACAAGUCCACGAAUAGAUGGUAAUAUAUGCUUUCAUUUUCUUAUUUAAAAAAUGUACACUUAAAGAUAAUGUUUUAUAACCAUUGUAUAUUUAAUUUAUUACCAUACUCACAAUUAACUUCACAAACUAACUAUGUUUCUUCGAUUUUUACAGUCCUAACACAAUGACUUCUCCAGUCCGGCUAAGAAUUAUUCUUGGAGAGCAAAACUCACAAAAGGUGAUCCUUCAGCAUGGCAUCCCUACUUCACUGAGUGACCUAUCAAAAGAAAUCGAAACACAAUGUAAUCUAAAAGGAUAUUUUAGGCUGCAGUUCAUGGAUCCUGACUUUGACAAUGAGUUUAUGAAUCUCAUGUCCACAUCUGAAAUUCAAGACAAAACUACCCUAAAAGUGGUAUUUCCAACAACACCAAGUGAUCCUGAUAAUGUGCAUACACCACAACUUUAUACAUCUGAAAGUAGGAGCACCUGCUCAUCCCCAGCUCUAUCAAUUUCAUCAUGUGACACAAUGAUUUUUUCAUUGCCAUCUACUUCAGCAAGCUCUGACUGUGUUGCAAGUGUAUCUCCUGAGUCUUCAAGAAUUAAGUCUUCUGCAUGGCCAGCCAUUUUCACUGUUCCCCGUUUUUCAUAUGACGCUGAGCUCAAAUUAGAUCAAGGAAAUGCAGCCUUCAAAACACACGGCACUUUUCUCAGUCCUGACCCAAAGUUGAAAAUAUCAAUAUUAGAUGGGCUUGCUGAAGAAAUUGUGAGAUACAAAGUCUACCCUACAAAUACAGAGUUCAGUCAGGGGGCUGAAGCCCUCAUUGAAAAGCACCCUUGUUUAAAAGAAAGGGGUUCUGCCAAUGGUUACAGCGGAUGGAAAGCAAGUUUAAAGUACAAACUUGCUAACUAUAGAACAAAACUAAGAAACAUUGGCUAUACUGAAGUUACAGUCAACUCGCUCAAGCACAAACCAGCUGGAAUUUCCAGUCCGGCUUACAAUAUAAAAAAACCUCGCAAAGCUGAGGUGAACUACUGCCCUUCACAUCCACUAGGGGAAACACCUGAAACACUUGAAGAAGUCAGAGUAACACUUCUGUCUGAAAUAAAAAAAAAGAACAAUGAGAAAACAUUACGAAUGCUGAUGGACAAGACUUUUUCAAUCAGGAGACAUGAGGUGGUCAAGGAUUCGCCUCCAAUAGCAGAUUUCAAAACUAGAUGGCCUGCUCUUUUCAGAACGGAAGAGAUUUGUGUAGAUUUGAGUUUGAAAGAAUCACAACAAUUCCAUUGGUGUCUACGUACUUUGCGAAGAUGGAUCAAUAUUCUGCUAAACUUAUGAAGAUCUAUGCAAAGCGAGGAGGAGUCAAUGGACAAAGAAUUAAAGACCUGUUGGUUCCCACAAAACGGGAUACAGAUGCACCCAGUACUCAGGAGGCGAUCCAGAAAACUGUGAUGGGAGUGUUUGUUGUAAGAAUUGAAGGUUUCGACAUCGAAGACACCCCAGCAAAUGUUGGAGUGGUAUUGGAGGGAGUGAGAGUUCUUGAGGACCUGAACAACGUAUCAUAUGCGACAGCCAUGCUGAUGGGACUGAUAUAUGCACUGACUUGAGCUACCCUCCUGAACUCAGGUACACCUUUGAAGUACUGCAGAAGUUGUUUCUGGAGCUAGAUGGGAAGAAACUAUCCCAAAAAGUUCAGACCCUGAAGACCAAGCUUUUCUCAGAUGUUAAUGAGUAAACAAUGUAAUUUUUCAGAUGUAAGUGCCAUGUUUCAGAAAAUGGCAGUACAAUUGUUUAAUUAGGUUUAUUAAAAGUGGUUAAAAAUUGUACUUUAAUGGUGCUGAGUGCAUCUAAUUUAUCGGUAGAUGUUAAGGUUUCUAAUGUUAUUAAAGUAAGUUUAACUGUAACUAUCCCACAGUUCCUGAAAAAAAAUGAUGCGAAUAAGUGCAUCUUAUUUGCAGUAAACAUAACAGUUUUGUAAUGUUUUUAGUGAAUUUACAUUCAAUUGUCCAAACUUUGAAAAAGCUUUACAAGUGGUGUGCUAGCUCCCCGAAUGGUGCGGACUGCAUCUUGUUUUGUCUGUAAACAUUACAGUUUUGUAAUGCUAUUACAAUGUUUAGUUGUAAUUAAUUGGUGUUCUUGAAAUAAAACUUUGCAAGCCACCUGAAUGGUGGUGGUGCAUUUCGAUUGUUAGUAAAUGUUAAACAUUUGUAAUG
This is an RNA transcript of Triplophysa dalaica, 2562 nucleotides long. RefSeq lists it as uncharacterized. The transcript has 3 exons. Lineage: Eukaryota; Metazoa; Chordata; Actinopteri; Cypriniformes; Nemacheilidae. The record is from RefSeq and is a predicted model, not a curated record.